AGAACGAACGCUGGCGGCAGGCUUAACACAUGCAAGUCGAGCGCCCAGCAAUGGGAGCGGCGGACGGGUGAGUAACACGUGGGAACAUGCCUUUCGGUACGGAACAACUGCGGGAAACUGCAGCUAAUGCCGUAUACGCCCUUACGGGGAAAGAUUUAUCGCCGAAAGAUUGGCCCGCGUCUGAUUAGCUAGUUGGUGAGGUAACGGCUCACCAAGGCUUCGAUCAGUAGCUGGUUUGAGAGAACGACCAGCCACACUGGGACUGAGACACGGCCCAGACUCCUACGGGAGGCAGCAGUGGGGAAUCUUGGACAAUGGGGGAAACCCUGAUCCAGCCAUGCCGCGUGAGUGAUGAAGGCCUUCGGGUUGUAAACUCUUUUACCAGGAAGAUAAUGACUGUACCUGGAGAAUAAGCCCCGGCUAACUUCGUGCCAGCAGCCGC
Molecule: ribosomal RNA, 442 nt
Filed under: uncultured bacterium
Lineage: Bacteria
Description: SSU rRNA
Rfam family: Bacterial small subunit ribosomal RNA
Source: RNAcentral